RNAcentral lists this ribosomal RNA (450 nucleotides) under uncultured bacterium. Its description in RNAcentral is "partial 16S ribosomal RNA". It matches the Rfam family "Bacterial small subunit ribosomal RNA", at positions 354 to 796 of the family's 1533-position model. The record is from RNAcentral.
GUGGGGAAUAUUGGACAAUGGGCGAAAGCCUGAUCCAGCCAUGCCGCGUGUGUGAAGAAGGUCUUCGGAUUGUAAAGCACUUUAAGUUGGGAGGAAGGGUAGUAACCUAAUACGUUGCUACUUUGACGUUACCGACAGAAUAAGCACCGGCUAACUUCGUGCCAGCAGCCGCGGUAAUACGAAGGGUGCAAGCGUUAAUCGGAAUUACUGGGCGUAAAGCGCGCGUAGGUGGUUUUGUAAGUUGGAGGUGAAAUCCACGGGGUGAAACUGGGAGCUGCCUCCAAAACUGCAUGACUAGAGUACGGUAGAGGGUAGUGGAAUUUCCUGUGUAGCGGUGAAAUGCGUAGAUAUAGGAAGGAACACCAGUGGCGAAGGCGACUACCUGGACUGAUACUGACACUGAGGUGCGAAAGCGUGGGGAGCAAACAGGAUUAGAUACCCCUGUAGUCC